RNAcentral lists this ribosomal RNA (778 nucleotides) under uncultured bacterium. RNAcentral's name for it is "bacterial SSU rRNA". It matches the Rfam family "Bacterial small subunit ribosomal RNA", at positions 1 to 749 of the family's 1533-position model. The record is from RNAcentral.
CUAUCGCCAAUUCCCUUGAGUUGAUCAUGGCUCAGAACGAACGCUGGCGGCGUGGAUAAGACAUGCAAGUCGAGCGAGAUUUUUUCCUGUAGCAAUACAGGGAAAAGUCUAGCGGCGAACGGGUGCUUAACACGUGGGCAAUCUGCCGAGAAGUGGGGGAUAGCUCGCCGAAAGGCGAAUUAAUACCGCAUGUGAUGAGAAUGGACAUCCAUUCAAAAUCAAAGUCGGGGCAACCUGACGCUUCUUGAGGAGCCCGCGGCCUAUCAGCUAGUUGGUGAGGUAACGGCCCACCAAGGCUUAGACGGGUAGCUGGUCUGAGAGGACGACCAGCCACACUGGGACUGAGACACGGCCCAGACACCUACGGGUGGCAGCAGUCGAGAAUUUUUCUCAAUGGGGGAAACCCUGAAGGAGCGACGCCGCGUGGAGGAUGAAGGUCUUCGGAUUGUAAACUCCUGUCAUUGGGGAACAAUGCGUAAAUAUUAACUGUAUUUGCGUUGAUAGUACCCGAAGAGGAAGAGACGGCUAACUCUGUGCCAGCAGCCGCGGUAAUACAGGGGUCUCAAGCGUUGUUCGGAUUCAUUGGGCGUAAAGGGUGCGUAGGCGGCGCGGUAAGUCGGGUGUGAAAUCUCGGGGCUUAACUCCGAAACUGCAUUCGAUACUGCCGUGCUUGAGGACUGGAGAGGAGACUGGAAUUUACGGUGUAGCGGUGAAAUGCGUAGAUAUCGUAAGGAAGACCAGUGGCGAAGGCNGGUCUCUGGACAGUUCCUGACGCUGA